This 484-nucleotide ribosomal RNA is filed under the name uncultured bacterium. Its description in RNAcentral is "partial 16S ribosomal RNA". It matches the Rfam family "Bacterial small subunit ribosomal RNA", at positions 30 to 507 of the family's 1533-position model. The record is from RNAcentral.
AUUGAACGCUGGCGGCAGGCCUAACACAUGCAAGUCGAGCGGAUGAAGGGAGCUUGCUCCUGGAUUCAGCGGCGGACGGGUGAGUAAUGCCUAGGAAUCUGCCUGGUAGUGGGGGAUAACGUCCGGAAACGGGCGCUAAUACCGCAUACGUCCUGAGGGAGAAAGUGGGGGAUCUUCGGACCUCACGCUAUCAGAUGAGCCUAGGUCGGAUUAGCUAGUUGGUGGGGUAAAGGCCUUCCAAGGCGACGAUCCGUAACUGGUCUGAGAGGAUGAUCAGUCACACUGGAACUGAGACACGGUCCAGACGCCUACGGGAGGCAGCAGUGGGGAAUGUUGGACAAUGGGCGAAAGCCUGAUCCAGCCAGGGCGCGUGUGUGAAGAAGGUCUUCGGAUUGGAAAGCACUUUAAGGUGGGAGGAAGGGCAGUAAGUUAAUACCUUGCUGUUUUGACGUUACCAACAGAAUAAGCACCGGCUAACUUCGUG